This 672-nucleotide long non-coding RNA is filed under the name Camponotus floridanus (Florida carpenter ant). Its description in RNAcentral is "uncharacterized LOC105255651, transcript variant X1". Lineage: Eukaryota; Metazoa; Arthropoda; Insecta; Hymenoptera; Formicidae. The record is from RNAcentral.
UUACAAAAUAUUUUGUAAUUGAAGUUUUAUCCAAUUCUUACUUUUUAAUUCAAAGACAUCAGCUUUAUGGCAGUAGGAUUUCUGGCUUGGGAAUUAAUGAUUUUACAAGAACGAAUACAUCAUCAAGAAAGGCGUUUGGAAUGAAUAAUAUUAAGAGAUACAUUAAAUCCAUUUAAUUUUCCACGUAAUGAAUUUAUAAAGUGCUUUCGAAUUAGUCCUGAUUUGGCAAUGGAUCUGAUUAAUUUAUUACGACCAUACUUGCAACAGCAGCGUUUAACUGCAAUUGCGCCUGAAAUAAAAGUUUUAGCAACAAUACAAUUUUAUGCACAUAGCAAUUAUCAGAGACCAACAGGAACUUGAUACUAGAAGAACGUCAGAAAGUCCGUGAAAAAUUUAUAAAUGCAUAACAGCUAUUUGAAGGAGCAAUUGGGGCAAUCGAUUGCACAUUUGUGAAUAUUUUAGGUCCUAAAAUACACGAGGAAGCAUUUGUCAACCACCAUGGGAUGCAUUCAUUAAAUGUACAAGCUAAAUGAUGCUUUUAUAUGGAGCGCUUUCUCAAUACGUCGCGCUAUGGAAUAUCACUAUAAUAGGAGUGAACGUUGUACUUGGCUUAUUGGUGAUGCUGGAUAUCCUUUGGAGCCAUGACUCAUGACGCCAUUACUACAUUAUUCA